AUUAGGAAAGCAUUUCUGGGUCCUGCUCAGGUGCAAACCUGGUCACUGGCUGUCUUGCUCCAAGAAUCUGAAGGUCCCUGGAAAGUGAGUUGUGGUCUUAGUGAAGAGAAAGAACCCUCCAUGAUAGACUCCACCUCCACUUAAAAUCAGACCCCUUCUCAGGCUACUCUAGCUGGCUCUUUGGGGAGGCACAUUGCCAAAGUCACCCUGCAGAGGAACAGCAGCCGAUUUUCAUCACAUCGGGAAAAAAAUUCAGAAUUGCUCAUGCAGGCCAGUGAGUGAUCUCAAAUCUUGAGCCCUGGACCACAGCUAAUUUAUUGGCUCUUUGGAAAGAAG
Molecule: long non-coding RNA, 336 nt
Filed under: Cricetulus griseus (Chinese hamster)
Lineage: Eukaryota; Metazoa; Chordata; Mammalia; Rodentia; Cricetidae
Description: lncRNA (ENSCGRG00015036348.1)
Source: RNAcentral